CAACAGGGGUCUCUUGAGCAUGCGCUGUGUACCUGGUGCUUGCAGCCUGGGAGUUCUUGGCUCAGUAACAGUUCAGAGCAGCACUGGUCUGUCUGUGAGCAAGCUUAAUGAUUUGAAGUACCAUAUUUUUUCUGAUGCUGGAAAGUGGCAGAGAGCCACCAUUCCCAGACAGCCACACAACAAUUCAGGUACCAGGGAUAGAGCUCAGGUCCUUGAGCUUGCGCAGCAGGCGGUGAAACCAGUGAGCUGAAUCCCCGGCCCCCCGAGUUGUUUUCUUUAAGGAGUGGCCCUGGGAGAAUAAAAGCAGACCUUAGAACUGGGGACCUAUCUUGCAUCUCAUGGCUUCUGCUGCUGUCUGCUUGAUGGAAAUCAGCCACAUAUGGAGAUUAUUUGCUGCUUCUGUCUGGCAAGAACUAUUUCUCCUCCUAGAUGCCCCUCUGCCAUGCCACCCUGACUUGAAGCCAGCCAGCCAUGGACUAAAACCUCUACAAACUUACCAUUGAGCUUACUGUGGACGCACAGCAAUCAGUGGAAAGAAGGUUGGUGUGGUUUGGAUGUGUCCCUUCCAAAAUUCAGGUGUUGCUGAUGUGACAGCAUUGAGAGAUGAGUCUUCAAGAAGCAAUUGGGCCAUGUGGGCUCCAUUUUGUGGAUAGAUUUGGGUUGUUAUACCAAGCACCUUGUGGACUGGGUUCACUCUUUUCCACUCUUCUGCCAUGGGAUGAUGCAGCUUGAAGGCCCUCACCAGAUACUCA
RNAcentral lists this long non-coding RNA (752 nucleotides) under Heterocephalus glaber (naked mole-rat). RNAcentral's name for it is "lncRNA (ENSHGLG00100033104.1)". Lineage: Eukaryota; Metazoa; Chordata; Mammalia; Rodentia; Bathyergidae. The record is from RNAcentral.